Morone saxatilis (striped sea-bass) is the source of this 296-nucleotide long non-coding RNA. RefSeq lists it as uncharacterized. The record is from RefSeq and is a predicted model, not a curated record. NCBI's taxonomy places the organism in Eukaryota, Metazoa, Chordata, Actinopteri, Moronidae. The transcript has 3 exons.
GCCCUGGGCCACCCGAAGGAGGAGGUGGAGGUGGAGGAGGAGGUCAUGGAGGAGGGCUAGUGGAGCAGCUUAGUAAGACCAACCUGUACAUCAGAGGCCUGCCGCCUGCCACCACUGACCAGGACCUCAUCAAACUCUGCCAGCCAUAUGGGAAGAUUGUGUCAACAAAGGCCAUCCUGGACAAGAACACCAAUCAAUGCAAAGGCUAUGGCUUUGUGGACUUUGACAGCCCUGCAGCAGCCCAGAAGGCUGUGGCUUCACUCAAAGCCAGUGGAGUCCAGGCACAGAUGGCGAAG